AUGUCGCAACUCUUUUGUGCUAUACUCUACACACAGCACAAGAACACUGACAUAUUCGUACAAACACUGGGCCGGUUGCCAGUGUGUGACAGGCACGGAUCAUUCGAUGCGGAUCGAGAAAUUACGGUCGCGGUCGCGGUCGCCAGAAGCCGCGAGGGGACGAAUGACCGGGUGCACCGCGAUCCGACGUGGCCCAAUGGCGCGGCGCGGGGCCUUAUCCGAUGGUAUCGCGCCUCAUCCCAACUCCAUCCACACACACACCACAAGUACUCUCGCGCCUCCGGACCCCACCGAUCACCUUAG
Molecule: ribosomal RNA, 303 nt
Filed under: Triticum aestivum (bread wheat)
Lineage: Eukaryota; Viridiplantae; Streptophyta; Magnoliopsida; Poales; Poaceae
Description: partial small subunit ribosomal RNA
Source: RNAcentral